Molecule: ribosomal RNA, 274 nt
Filed under: uncultured bacterium
Lineage: Bacteria
Description: partial 16S ribosomal RNA
Rfam family: Bacterial small subunit ribosomal RNA
Source: RNAcentral
ACACGGAGGGUGCAAGCGUUACUCGGAAUCACUGGGCGUAAAGCGCGCGCAGGCGGUCUUUUAAGUUGGAUGUGAAAGCCUACGGCUCAACCGUAGAACUGCAUCCAAAACUAUUAGACUAGAGUGUGGGAGAGGAAGAUGGAAUUAGUUGUGUAGGGGUAAAAUCCGUAGAGAUAACUAGGAAUACCAAAAGCGAAGGCAAUCUUCUGGAACACUACUGACGCUGAGGCGCGAAAGCGUGGGGAGCAAACAGGAUUAGAUACCCUAGUAGUCC